CAUACCAACGUUUUAAAAUAUACGUGUGUUUCUGAUCAACACAUUCAGGAUACCAUCGGUGCUAUGUCCAAAUGAUGGCAUUAAACCUUUAGUUCGAGUAUCGCCAAACAUACCUGACUGCAAAAUCUCGGCUCAAGCCCAAUUGCAACCUGAACGGGUUGUGUUUCUCAAUACGGAGCAAAUUCAACGUCUUCUAUGUAAAAUGGGCCCAUAGGCUGUACCAGAGAAAUGAUAGACAGAUACGCAUUGAACAAUAUCUAUUACUUCUGGUGAGUUACGUGCAAACCUCCGGACCAGCAUAUUACUCCUUAGAGCUAACGCUCUUCUUUCUCACAGCAGAUCAGCUGCAGCAACAGACGAUUUGUCUGAUGGAGACUCAAUGUCGUUUAGCAAAACACUGUUAAGCAACAUUGGUGGAACUGUUCAAUUGAAAAUGCCCGUGAAAAAGGUUCCGUUUCCUACUGAGCAGACCACACCAAUAUUACUACUCUUCUAGCAUAGCUUUCCUCUUAUGCCAUAAAAGUUCUCAACAUCGGCCGUGGACUGCCAAGGGCCAUAUCUACAUAGUGCUUACAGACCGCGACUGGUGCUUCACUAUGUAUAAAGAAAUGUUAGUCUCGUCCUGGACUCUGCGUUUUGGACCUGAGAUCCUACGUAAGCCUUCUAAAGGAUCAGACACAAGACACAUAAUAUUACUAAUAAACUAUUAAUAUAAAUAAAAGAGCACGAUAAUUGAAAUCAAUUUUGUGGAAGAGUAUAACCGAGCGAGCUGUCCGAGUGAAGAGUUAAACGCCGUGAUUACACACCGAUUUGCCUAUCAUUUUUGAUAGGCCGAUAUUCGCGAAUUGCAUCUGCAUUUAAUCGACCAUUACUGAUGUUAACGGUCAGCUGAAAACGCGGAUAAGUAAUUUGUCAAUUUUUUUGCAUAUUUUUACGUUAGGUAAUAUAAUGUAUUUCAAUGUUGUUUUGAGCGAUGACGCGUAUAAGUUAUUUUAGUGGCUAUAAAAAGAUAAAUAUAAAAAUAAAGUUAGUAGAUAAAUAAUAAAAUGAUUUGCGAAUAAUAACUUGAUAAGUGAUAAGAUACAUGAGCCAUGGUGACGAUUAAUCUAAAUAUCGAGUUCGUUUAAUAUAUUUUAUUAUAUUAAUUAGACGUCAUCAAACUUUAACUUUUAUUCAGGUAUUGCAGUGUUGGUUAUAUUCUUUAACGCUUUAAUAUUAAAAAAACUAUACAAAAAGGUUUUCUGUAUUUUUUUCUGUCGGUACGUGAAUAUUGUAUGUAUUAUGUUAUAUAUAAGUAACGUAAUUCAAUUUGGCAAAUAUAAGCUUCAAGUUUCAUUACACCCGGUUUAAGUCGCCUAUUUGUUUUAGUUUUAACUGCAAAUAAUAAAACAUUGUAAUUACUUAA
Pieris rapae (cabbage white) is the source of this 1405-nucleotide long non-coding RNA. RefSeq lists it as uncharacterized. NCBI's taxonomy places the organism in Eukaryota, Metazoa, Arthropoda, Insecta, Lepidoptera, Pieridae. The record is from RefSeq and is a predicted model, not a curated record. The transcript has 2 exons.